CUGCAGAAAAAGGGCAACUCAUGAAUUCAGCAAUUCUUUUGACACAGGAGAAAUGAUCAUUCAUCAGAUCUUCAUAUUUCAUAAAGAGUAUUUUCUCUGGAAAUUCAAGACUUGCUUUCCAGUACCCUAAAAUAUGAUCCCACCAAGGUCCACAAGAAUUUAUUCCUUUGCAAAAAUACUGAUAUGCUGUCUCCAAUGGAAUGGCUUCCUUGCGUAACUUACAUAUAAACUGCCAAUACGAAAUAAGCAAAUCCUUGGGAUCUCUGGAGAGGUAAAUAAUUUUACAAUUGAACUCUACAAUAUACUUGGGCAAAAGAGUGUAGGGAAUGUGUGUGGCAAAAAAUGGAAGUUCAGAUUCUCUGUUAACUGAAACUUCAAUCCAAGGAAUAAAAUCAUGUGGGGACUUAGUUAACAAUGGAUGUGAGGAGAAAUCAUUGAAUCGUGUUCUUGUGAAAGUAGCAAAACACAAGGCUUUAAGCCAAGUGGUGCCAGAUUUUGGAUGAGUGCAAAUGAAAAUAUCAGUAGGUUGGGGUGUGAAGUGUUCAUGCAGUGACAUUAUGCUUUCUAGCGUAGUUGUACGAAACCAAAAGCCUUGAUACUUAUGGAUGUAUUGAUCGAGUGGUGAUGCAAAGACAUUUGGUUGACGAGGAAGAGUUGAAAUUAUCUCUCUAUAUUUUGUAGGGUUUAUUGGAGACUCGUUGGUGUUCAUGGAAGCAGACAAAAUAGCCUCAAAGACCAUUCACUUGAAGAGCUGUAAAGGUCUAUUUAUAGAGAAAAAAGUUUUAGCACACAUUCGGCAACCGGUGAUAUUAAUUUCCCAAUUCUGCAUAUUGGGCCACCAUGUGAACAAGAUGACAAAUGCAUGAAUGGGUGAUCUGCUUUGGAAGAUUUUUUUAUUCGAAUGAGGUAAAAGAUUAAUACAAUUAAUGAAUUAUACAAUUAAGAGAUAAUUUUCUGCUUUCUCCUCAUGAAGAUAAAUAUCUCAAAGGAAUAAUUACCUUGUACGACUUAAUUAAUUAAAAUAUUUAUAUAAUUUUAAUUUUUUAUUAUAUUUUUAAUAAUAAAAAUAAAUAAAAAAAUAUUUUAUUAAAAAAAAUAUAAAAACGGUUAAUUUAUGAAUAAUAAUAAUAUUUAAAAACUAAAUUAUAAAUUCUCCUAAAUAAAUUUGACACGAGUGGGGCACCAAAUUCAGUGAGAAGAAGAUUGAUGUGAAGUAAUUGACAUGAUAUGACAUAGCAUCAGAUAACAUCACAUGACAUGGCAUGGAGUACCCCAUGUGAAAGGUGUCUGAUGUUAUCAGCUAAAAAACAGAACAAAUAAUUUAUAUUUGUCGACUCUUCAUUAUGCUGAUUUUUUUUAAAAAAUAAGUUAGUUUACAAUUUAGCCAAAUUUUUAAUUUUUUAGAGCUGUAAAUAUAAGAGAAAUUAUAAUUAUUUUUUCAGGAAAAUGUACUUAUUCUUAGGGGAUGAUCAUUCGGUUGGUUCGGUUCAAAAUCAUACCGAACUGAAUAAACCGAAAACUGAAAUUUUGGUGCUUAUGAAAAUCGAACCGAAUCAAUUUUGGUCAGAAACCGAAUCGAACCGAACCGGUCUGAUUCGGUUCGAUUCGAUUCGGUUUGAUUAGUUUCAAUUUUUAAUAAUUUUUUUAAUUUUUUACACUUUAUUUUUAAUAUUUUAAAAUUUAAUUAAAAUAUUUUAAUUUUAAUAUGAUUUAAUUUCUCAAUAUUAUUGAAAAAAUAUAUUAUUAUCACUAAUCGGUUCGAUUUAGUUUUUUCGGUUUUUUCUGAUUAAAACCGAACCGAACCAAAAUAACCUAAAUUUCUGAAAUUAAAAACCAAACCGAACCGAAAUGUAUAAAAAACCGAAUCAAAUUUUUAAAUCAAUUUGAUUCGGUCGAUUUUUUUUAUUUGAACCGAAUAUUGCUCCCCUACUUAUUCUCUAUAACAACUGAAAUAAGUUAGUAAUGAAAUGGAUUCAAUCUUUUGUAUUAAAAACAUUUUUAAGAAAGUAUUUUCAGAUUUUUUAAUAUUUACAAUAUUCAAAAAAAUGUCAAUAAUAUUUAUUUAAUAGUUUAAUUCAGACACAUUAUUUGUUAUUAUUUUUUUCAUAAAAAAUAUUUUUUAAAUAUAAAUUAUUUUCUGCUAAAAAUAAUUUUAUGGAGGUUUGCACCUUUAUAAAAUAAUAUACCCAUUCAAUUUUAUCCACUAAUUUUUAAAAGUUUUUUUUUUCGUCUAAAAUCAUCAGUUUAAGAAUACUAAUAUUUUUCAAUUUUAUCCUUAUUUUUAUUGAACCUAAUAAUUAUUUCUAUAAUUUCCUAAAACACCUUUUAUAAUUUUCCUUUCUCUCUUAAGCAACCCACUUUUGUAAUAAUAAAUUAAUGAAAAAAAUAUUAAAAUUGAAGAAAUUAAGUGAAAAAUAAAUAAUAAUUUAGUUAAAUUAAGGAGUAUUUUAUGAGAAAAUAUAUUGAAAUUGAUAAAAAAAGAAUAGUCAACACUGAAAUAUUAUUAUUGAUGAUCGUCGGGUCUCAUUAUCAUUGGACAAGGCCAGACUCAAGAGAACAGCGCCGGUCCAAAGUUCAUGAAACUUUUUUUGUCAAUCGGUCUAGCCUUUUUACAGUCUGGUGAUGUGACAUGAAGGAAGAUAGCAAAUCCAAUUAAUUCGCAAGCUUGGUGAUGUGACAUGAAGGAAGACAGCAAAUCCAAUUACUUCGCAGUCCUACCCGCACACGCGCCGAAAAUUAAACCUGAAUGACAGAAAUAAAUUGCACUGUAGUAUAGAAGCCGUUAGGCUUACCAGCAGACAAAUGAAAAUGAAUAAAAAAAGAGAAACUUUUUUCUCUCUAUUGAAACUCACACAAAACUACUGUAAAUAUUAUUUUUUUAAAUUUCAGAAUAUCAAUUAUCAAUAAACUAAGAUAAGCUUUCAUUAAGAUCACUACAACAUAUGCUUAGGUUGAUCAUUCUAACAUUAUUCAAAUCUUUAUGCAAACUAAGACAAGUACUUGCCUUCAUUAAGAUUUGCCUUCACUGAGACACUGCAAAUCUUGGGCUCGAAAAGAUAAUCCAGAACCACUGAACUUUUGCUCAGUUAUUUGGUCAAGGUGAGCUCCCAUUUCAGCUGUCAAAUAGUUCUUCCAAUCACCAACUUUACCUUUCCUAAAGAAUGAAUUGUUUUCAAUUUUGAGAGCUCCUGUUGCAGAGUUCUCUAAGCUAUUUCUGUUCACUUCCAAAUUGCUUAGAGUCUCAAAGCUGCACAAGUUGACGAUUUUUUGCACUAACCCUUGUCUCUCUUCUUCUGCAGAAAAAGGGCAACUCAUGAAUUCAGCAAUUCUUUUGACAUAGGAGAAAGGAUCAUUCAUCAUAUCUUCAUAUUUCAUAAAGAGUAUUUUCUCUGGAAAUUCAAGACUUGCUUUCCAGGAGCUUUUUUUCAAAUUAUACCUAAAUAAAAUUUAUUUUUUCAAAUCAUGCAUUUUCGGAUCUGUGUGUCAAACCUGAGUGUUCGGCAGUCAUACUACCGAACACUCUUGUUCGCGCGGAGCCAUUGUUCGACACUAAUGGUGUCGAACAACGGCUUCUCCUGCCACGGGAGCAGUUUUAUGCUCCCGUGGCGCACUAGGCGUGUUCGGCACCAUUGGUGUCGAACACGCCUGACAUGUUCCUCCCAUUCAUGCCCCCUUCUGUAGGGCUACUUACUUGCAUAUUCAUUUUUUUUUUUUAUUUUAUUUCAUCUCUCAUUACUCUCUCAAAAUCGUUCCCUCCAAAUACGUCGGAGACUGGCGAGGCACUUGAGCUCCAAACAAACAUGUGGAGCUCCUUAGCGUCAUGGUUUGCUUUGGAAUUCUGUUGCUGAGGCUGCUGCUGUUGCUCCUGUUGCUGCUGCUGAAGAUUCUUGGUGUUUUUUGUGGAAACCGUUGAAGAAAAUUCCGGAUUUGGUGCUGGAUAAGAUGUUGGCACCGUUUGCGCCGGAUAAAACCCGAAUCUUGGAGAAGAAUUUGUAGCCAUUGGAGCACAGUUUUCUUCAAAGUUUGAGGGCCGAGGUGUUGGACCUCUUGAAGAUUGUACAGAGUACAAGUCCGCCGGACCAAAAUUUGAGAGUUUUCCACCGGGGAAUCCCUGCACACCCAUCAUAUUAUAGAAGUCGGAAGUGUUAAAAUUAGAUCCUCUUGGGGUUGGAUUUCUUGAUGAACUCAAGCUAUAAAUCUCAGCUCCAGUAAGAUUCGAGGGACGAGGAGUCAAUCCAGAGAAAGAACCAGGCCCCAAAGAUCGCCGCGAAGCAUUGGAUUUCCUCACCGUCACAUGCAGCUUCCCAUCAUCACCAAUCUCAGCAUCUGUUUCCAAGAAAUCUCUACCGUCUAAAGGCUCCCGUACCGCGCUGUGCAGCGCCACGCGGGGCGCAAAAAGAAGAGUUCGGCACGAACUCUUCUUUUUGCGUGACUGCAGAUCCGUCAGGCGUGGAGUGCAGAACACGCCUCCUGUGCCACGGGAGCAGUUGGUGUUCGACACCAUUGAUGUCGAACACCAGUGUCCGCGUGGCAGUUCGACACCAAUGGUGUCGAACAACGGCUCCGCACGGUGUCGAACUUCACUCUGUUUGGUGUCGAACAAGAGUGUUCGGCAGUACACUCAGGUUUGACACACAGGAUCCGAAAAUAUUUUCGGAUCCUGCAUGAUUUGAAAAAAUAAAUUUUAUUUAUGUAUGAUUUGAAAAAAAGCUCGCUUUCCAGUACCCUAAAAUAUGAUCCCACCAAGGUCCACAAGAAUUUAUUCCUUUGCAAAAAUACUGAUAUGCUGUCUCUAAUGGAAUGGCUUCCUUGCGUAACUUACACAUAAACUGCCAAUACGAAAUAAACAAAUCCUUGGGAUCUCUGGAGAGGUAAAUGAUUUUACACUUCAACUCUACAAUAUACUUGGGCAAAAG
Molecule: long non-coding RNA, 4916 nt
Filed under: Manihot esculenta (cassava)
Lineage: Eukaryota; Viridiplantae; Streptophyta; Magnoliopsida; Malpighiales; Euphorbiaceae
Description: long non-coding RNA (MESC_LNC003851)
Source: RNAcentral